UUAAAUUGAAGAGUUUGAUCAUGGCUCAGAUUGAACGCUGGCGGCAGGCCUAACACAUGCAAGUCGAACGGUAACAGGAAGCAGCUUGCUGCUUCGCUGACGAGUGGCGGACGGGUGAGUAAUGUCUGGGAAACUGCCUGAUGGAGGGGGAUAACUACUGGAAACGGUGGCUAAUACCGCAUAACGUCGCAAGACCAAAGAGGGGGACCUUCGGGCCUCUUGCCAUCAGAUGUGCCCAGAUGGGAUUAGCUUGUUGGUGAGGUAACGGC
RNAcentral lists this ribosomal RNA (269 nucleotides) under Salmonella enterica subsp. enterica serovar Typhimurium var. 5-. Its description in RNAcentral is "partial 16S ribosomal RNA". It matches the Rfam family "Bacterial small subunit ribosomal RNA", at positions 1 to 264 of the family's 1533-position model. The record is from RNAcentral. Lineage: Bacteria; Pseudomonadati; Pseudomonadota; Gammaproteobacteria; Enterobacterales; Enterobacteriaceae.